UACGUAGGGUGCAAGCGUUGUCCGGAAUUAUUGGGCGUAAAGAGCUCGUAGGCGGUCUGUCGCGUCGGCUGUGAAAACCCGGAGCUCAACUCCGGGCCUGCAGUCGAUACGGGCAGACUGGAGUUCGGCAGGGGAGACUGGAAUUCCUGGUGUAGUGGUGAAAUGCGUAGAGAUCCGGAGGAACACCAGUGGCGAAGGCGGGUCUCUGGGCCGAUACUGACGCUGAGGAGCGAAAGCGUGGGGAGCGAACAGG
RNAcentral lists this ribosomal RNA (253 nucleotides) under uncultured bacterium. Its description in RNAcentral is "partial 16S ribosomal RNA". It matches the Rfam family "Bacterial small subunit ribosomal RNA", at positions 524 to 776 of the family's 1533-position model. The record is from RNAcentral.